This is a long non-coding RNA of Frankliniella occidentalis (western flower thrips), 457 nucleotides long. RefSeq lists it as uncharacterized. Lineage: Eukaryota; Metazoa; Arthropoda; Insecta; Thysanoptera; Thripidae. The record is from RefSeq and is a predicted model, not a curated record. The transcript has 3 exons.
GGCGCGCGGCCCCCUCCUCGACGCACCCGGGCGGACACCAUGCCAGCUACCGCCAGCAAACGUGUUGCCCUGCCGGGGGAGCGGCGCCGGGUGGGCCGCAAGCCUCCCCGCUGAUCCCUCGCUACCGCCUACAACACGAGCAUCACUCUUGACGCCGUGCAAUUAACGAUUUUAUCAUGUGUGGCCUCCGGAUGGUGAGCGACAACUGCGGCCUGGAUGUCGCGCUUCAACUCCAGAGCCUUCACGACAAUCUAACAAAUCUUGUUUUUACUAACAAGUGUGCCUCGAGCCUCCGACCCGUACUGAGGCCCCUCCCCGCCGAGCCUGAUGUGGAACUCUCGCACACAUCUCCAGGAUCUUUCAAACUGGUCAUCAUUUAUGUCCUUGGACUGCUUCUGCUGGCACUGUUUGUAGCCCUAUUAAGAAGAAUUAAAGACUUUUGGAAUUAGCUGUGGAA